This is a long non-coding RNA of Alligator mississippiensis (American alligator), 8219 nucleotides long. RefSeq lists it as uncharacterized. The transcript has 18 exons. Lineage: Eukaryota; Metazoa; Chordata; Crocodylia; Alligatoridae. The record is from RefSeq and is a predicted model, not a curated record.
CCUGUUUUGUGUGGGGGGCUUGGGAGACAUUUUUUGUGGCAGUGUGAUGAUCUUUUUGGUGGGAAGUUGGUCAUUUAGUGUGGCGAUUUGGAGGUGUUUUGUGGAAAUGUGUGAAAUAUGGUGGUAUUGGGAGAAUUGUGUGAGGAGCUGGGACCUUCAUUUGGAAAUUGUGGAAACGUGAUUGGGGGGAAUUUGGUCAUGGUGUGUGGUGAUAUAGUGCCUUGUUUGGAAAUACUGCUAUUUUGUGUGGAAACGUCAUGGUUUGGGAACCUUGUGGAAAUCUGUUGAUUUUGUGUGGAAGUGGUGUGGUAAUUUUAGGGUGAUUUGGGAACUGUUUGUGUGACUGGUGUGUCGUGGGACCUGUGGCAAACUGUAUGGGGAUUGGUUCACUGUAUGGAAAUACGGCUGUGUUGUGUGAGGGGAAAUGGUCUGGGGAUUUGGAAACCCUUUUUGUGGGCUCGUGUGUGGGCUUGUGGUGGUUUGCGUGUGGAAAACCAGACAUCCUUUGUGGUGAGUUGGAGGCGUUUUUGUGGCAAUGUUUGGAGAUGUUCUGUGAUGUUGGGAGAAGUCUGUGGGGAUUUGGGACGUUUAUUGGGGGAGUGUGUGGAAAUGUUAAAAUGUUGUGAGAAACUGGUGAUGGUGUGUGGUACUAAAGGACGUUGUUUCUUGGAAAAUGUGAUUUUUGUGUGGAAAACUAGUGAUUUAGGAACUCUGUGGAGAUGUCUGUGGAAAUGUGGUGAUUAUGCCAGUGGAAAAUGGUGUGGUAGUUUUAGGGUAAUUUGGGAACUGUUUGUGCAACUGAUGUUCGUGGGAGCUGUGGAAAUGUGUGUGCAUGGGAAUAUGGUUAUGUUGUGUGGGGGAUACGGUGUGGGGAUUUGGAAACCUUUUUUGAGGGCAUGUGGCGACUUUUGUGUGGAAAAGUUUGUUCUGUGUGGUGACUUGAGAACCCCCUUUUUAUCUGGAAGUGCUGAUUUUGUUUGGUGGGAGGUGAGUCAUUUUGUGGUAAUUUGGUGAUGCGUUGGUGGAAAGGUGUGGGGAAACGUGUGGGAGAAUUCUGUGGGGACUGGGGAGCGUGUCUGUGGAAAUGUGCUUUUUUGUGGAAGAUGUGAUGGUGUGUGGUGAAAAAGGAUUUGUUUUGGAAAUGUGAUUUUUUUUUUGCGUGGAAAACUGAUGAUCUGGCAGGUGUAUGUGGAAAUGUGAGUGGAAAUAUCUGGUGAUUUUUGUGUGUGUGUGGAAAAUGGUCUGGUAAUAUUAGGGUGAUUUAGGAACCGUUUUUGUGGAACUUGUGUGUUGUGGGACGUGUGGAAUAGUUUGUGGUGACUGGGUAAGUGUGGAAAUAUGCUUGUGCUGUGUGAGGGAAAUGGUAGGCAGGGGUUGGAAAAAUUUUUGUGGGCAUGUGUGCGCCUGUGUUUGGACACGUGGUGGUUUCCAUGUCGAAAACUGGCCCUGAUUUGAAAACCCUUUUUCUGGCAGUGUGGUAGGGUGUUGGGUUUUUUUGAGUGGGAGGUUGGUCAUUUUGUGUGGCGAUAUGGAAGUUUUUUUGUAGAAACGUUUGGGGAAAUAUGGUGGUUUUGGGAGAGUUCUGUGGUGCUUUGGGAACUUUUUACUGGAAAUGUUUGGAAAUGUGAUUUUUGUUGUGGAAUUUAGGACCUACAGGUAUAUAGGACAUUUGUUUGGAACUAUAGGGGUUUUGCGUGGAAAUAUGGUGAUUUAAUUUUUAGAAAACAGUGUGGUAACUUUAGGGUGAUUUGGGAACUGUUUUGUGCGACCUGUGGAAAAUUGUGUGGCGGUGGGGUAAGCAUAUGGAAAUAUGGGUAUGUUGUAUGAGGGAAAAUGCAUGGUGAUUUGGAAACCUUUUUUGUAGUAGUGCAUGUAGAAAAGUGUGAUUUUGUGUGUGUGUGUGGUCAUUUGAUAAGUCUGAACGGGAAUGUGCUGGGCUGGCCCACGGGGGUCAUUUCAUCCGCUGCGGUGCGUUUAACGGUGCGUGUCUUCUCACUAAUGAAACGGUCUAACGUGGGUCUUCCCUUUCUUUCCAACUGCUCCUUGUGCACCUGUUCAUGGAAGCAGUGUCAGCGAGGAGCUGCAGCGUGAAAGAAGUGGGACUUGGAAAUAUCCAAGGGACCACGGGUAACAGGAUCCUGGCCGUUGUGGAGAGACUUCGGGUUGGAGAUGGAUGCAAAGAAGUGGAGGCGUGCCAUGGUGUUGGAGGAUAGAGCAGGAGGAGUAGCGUGAUGGAAGAUGAUCAAAGUCUGGUCCUGAGUGGAGAAGAGCUGAGGAGCCCUGGAGCUGGUAUGGCGUGGAAGGAGUUGGAGACGGCCCGAAGCCAUGCUCAUGUGAUCACCUGGAGCGAGGUAUUUGCUUCUUGCAGGUUGCAGCUCUGGAUGGACAGAUCCUGCAGCUGGUAAGGGGUUGCUUGGAGCAGUGUGGGGCUAAUUGCUAGACUCAGACAUUCAUGCUUUGCCCUUUGAUGUUUUUCAUGCUGAGGCUUUUCUUUUGCGUCCUCAGCAGGUGCCUGCAUCGUAUCUGGGAAAGGGAUGGCAAGCAUGAGGACUGACGGCGCACAAGGACUGAAAGCGCAGCUUGAUGCCAGGUGUGGGUCCUGGUGUGCGUGGAAGGAAAGGGUGAGGGGGCAUGGGGACCGGAGCCAGAGGAUCAGGAUGCGAGAAGGAGCCAUCUUCUGAAGGCUUGAGGGCUGUGGAGCAGACUCUGUGAAGAUGAAGUGAAGAGUCCCAGAGGUGGUGCAGGAGGAAACGGGCAGCCCUGUUGUGACUUCCUGAUUUGCGUGGUGUGAGGCCUCUUCCCCUGUGGCAUCACCUGGCUGGAGUCUGGGGAGGUUUUGUGUGUGUAGCUUUGCAGGCGGUGCGUCUCCGCUCCCACUUCUUGCUGUGAGGAUGCCUGGAUAAGCAGCAGCAUGAUUGUGGCUGGGUGGCCUCAAUGUUGUGGGGGAGAGGAAUAGAAGCGAGGCUUCUGCGGUGGUGGUAGAAGAUGGAGGAACUGGAUCCCGAAAGCGUGAGUGGAGAAGAGCUGAGGCAAAGAGACCUAGAGCCAGUGCUAGGUAGAAGCGGGUGGAGGAAGCAGGUGGUCGUGCAGCCAUGCUCGCUUCUGGGUCAGCUGGAGGGAGGCGUCUGCCUGUUCGGUGGACCUGUGUGCACGAGCAGAGCCUGCAGAGGUCCCUGCCUCCCCUGUGUGGAGAGGAUGGCAAGGAGGGAGGAGAGUGCGCCGGAGGAAGAGGAGCGCGAUGCCAGGUCCCAUGAGUGCUGUCUCUUGGGGGUCCUGACCUGUGCAGAGGGAAAUGACUGCCGGUUGAAGGAGUGAAGCUGAGCAGCGCCCACGGAGGGUGAAGCAGGAGGAACUCGAUGCCGCACGGCGUGUCGGUGCCGGAUGGGCAGGUCUGGCAAUUGGUUUCUGUUUUUCUCCAGCCCAGUCCUGGGUGUUGGGCAUUGACUAGGUAGGGUAGACAACUGGAGAUGGAUCCAUGUUUCUGACUGUGGAGAGUACUGGAUGUCAGAGAAAAGGUCCUUCUUGUGGUGGUGUCUCCAGCAUAUGCUGUGGCUGCUGUGCUGUGGUCCCAACAGAGGCAAGCCUUGGAGAGCUCAGAGGGUCCUGGUCCUUGGAGAGAAGUUUGAGCAGAGAAGGGUUGAAGAUGGAGGUAGAGAGGAUGGUGCAAGCGGGGGGUCUUUUUACCAAGACUUUUGGGGCAGGGAGGAGAAGUGGAGAUUGGGCAGAAGAAGAGAAGACACCUUGAAGUCAUGAACCAUGGAGCUGCCUGUCGUUGGUGCGUGGAGCAUGUGAUGGGUGCUUGCGCUGUAGCUCUGUUGUGAGGAGCGGGGCAUGGGCAGUGACACGCUGAGAGCUGGAGAAGGAGCACCACAAAGAUGGCUGUGAGGCCUUGGUCAGGCGUGAAGUAUGUGAGCCAGGAGAGUCGUGCAGCACACACGCAGGAUGGAGGGCAACAAGUCGAGCGGGAGGCUUUUUUGGCCAGGGCUGCUGUGAAAUCUGGUGUAGGGCUGGGCCGGCCGGUCCGAGUCUGUCGGACUCCACGUAUAGGAGAAACGACGGAUGUCUAAGGAGCUUGUGGGGUGUUUGAUCCGGGCUCAUCCCUGGCACUUGGGUUGCAGGCCUGGCCCCUCUCUGGGGUGUGUUGAGGGUGAGCUCUGGGUUUGCAUUCGUGCCCCUGACUUGCUGUUGCUACAGGCCUCCCUUCAGUCUUGGGAACAGUGCUAUGUCCUGUGUGCCUGGGGGUGUCACUGGUGUCUCUCUCUUUCUACGUCUUUGCAAAAUGUCUGCAGCACUUGUUCUUUUUCUGCUCUUGUCAGGACUGGAGGGAAGGCUGUGGUGGGUUUUUUCCUGCCACCUAAAAUGGUUUCCACCUCGGGGAGGGGUCUGACUGCACCCCGUGUGCCGUGUUUAGGCUGGGUGGGGGUAUUGCCUUUGGAUUCUCGGGGGUUGCUUUUGCCCUCAGGGCUGUGAGUCCCGUGUGCCGCGUGACUUUUCCUAAUUUAUUUUUGUUUUGGUGACAUGUACGGGAGUCAUCUGGCUGAGGCUCAAGGCUCGUAAGCGGGCAUCGGGAAGAAGAGGUGGAGACAGCGCCUGUGACCUGAGGAAACUGGUGAAAGAAAUGGAUGUCGGCGCAUUCGCUUUGCGGUUGCCGGGUGUGAGACUUCUGCCCGUGUGGUGGCCCUGGGCUGGAAGCCUUGUUGCGUGAAGCCUGCGAUACGUGAGAUCUGAAUCGGAGCGGUGUGAGACAUUUGGUCCGUGGAAGUUGGGAGGUGGAUUUGAGCGGGCUUGGGGGGAGCAUCUCUUGGCCUCCCUCGGUGGUGCUGGUGACGGUCCUGUAGAGGGAAGGGUUGUGGGCUCCUGCCGUUGGUCACAGGGUGUAUUUAGGGUUGUCAGACUGUGCUUGCCUGUGGCACUUGGGUGUUGGUUUUGCACUUCUAGGUUGUUUUGGGCCAGACGAUUGGGUUUGUGUUGGCGUGCCUGUUGCUGUUGCGAGAGGGCCUUCGCAGUGCUGGGAAUGAUGUUGGAUUGCUGCUCCCUGUGUGGUGAGGAGGAUGGGCUGCAAUGACUGGAGGCCUGGAAAAGGAGCCGUGUGGCCAGGGUCCUGGGCUGCACGGAGGGAAGUAGGUGAGAGGACUGCAUCGUGGAAGAGCCGUGGGACAGUGUUGGAUGACAGACGCGGACCGGCCGGAUGUUGCCCGCUACGUUGGAAUGUCCCUUCUGUAUUGGGAUUCUGCGUGGGGGUGUGGGGUGGGUUUGGGAGUGUCCUCAGCUUUAUGAUCCUGGAGCCAGGGGUUUGCAAGUAGUAUGUUUGGGUCAGUUUGUGUGUGCUGUGGGUGGACCUAGGGUGACCAGAGGUGAAAUCCAUUCCUGUGACCCUGCAGUUGGACCAGCACCCAGACACUUGCAGGAACCUCUGGCCAAGCAGGCCCAGAGCUUCCAACUGUUGAGCACGGCAAUUCUGGAGCCAGCUAGCAUGGAAGCAGAAGGGCUGGCCGGGCGCAGGGCCCGGGCUGCCUCUGUGGCUUCUGUGCUAGUGAGGUUGAGAAUUGCAGUGCUGGGGGGUUGGAGGUUUUGGACCUGCUUGUGCAGGGUUCUUGUUGGUGUUGGGGUGCUGGUUCUGCUGGGUCAGAGCAAUGGGUUUUAUUCUGCCUGGCUGCCAUGUUUACAGUGUCCUGCAGGGCUGGGAGCCUGUCGUAGCAGCGUGUGUUUGGCUGGGGCGGGGUGGUUGUCUGGUUUGGUCCCUGAGCAGUGUGGUGAGCAUGUUUGUUAUUACACUGAAAUAAAAUAGUUUUCUGAUAGCCUACUGUUAGGCUAACCAUAAUUUAGAUUAUUAAGAAAUAUUAGCUUUGCAGCUGAAUACAAGGCAUGACCUGUGGCCUAGCAAUGCCGCUGACCACAAGGCAGAAUGAUAGCUAAGCCUUUGCUUAUGUUAAGUAAUCAUUUUAACUGUGUUGACUAUUUUCUGAGUAAAAUGCAGCAAGUGAAUCUGUGUUUGCGUGCUGUAAACCAGAUGCAGCAAGGAAGAAGAUAAGAGGAAGAAGCCGUUGUUCUAAGUACAGUGAUCGUGUCCUUAAGAAGUAUCUAGUACUGUGCAAGUUUUUGCUAACAUAUCAUAAUGUUACUGUUACUUAGGUUAGAAAAUAUUGUUGGAAAAUCAGUGAGACCUUUGUAUGACCUUUGGUCAAUGCUGGCUGAUGCAACCUUGCAGUAAGAUUGCCAAGGUCUGUCAAUAUAGGCAGGCAAACAAGGUGAUUGGGCCCAACCAUGCGGGGUAAGCAAAGCCAAGCCAUCUUGGUGAUUUUUCUCUGAGUUUUGCGCGUGUGUUAUGAAGAAGCUUAUGUAACCAGAGUUUAUAAAUAUAUGUGUUGAGUUGCAGUCAGGGUCUCUCUCUGCCCUUACGAGGACAGGGGACCUUCGGCCGAAUAAACUGAAAAGAGCACACCUUCAUCUGCUGCUUAUUGGAGUCUCAGCUGGGAAACGAGCCCUGUUUGGGUUAAGAGAGUCUGCAGGUGUUGCCUUACGAGAUUGGGAGCCUGGUCAGACAAUUUCUCCCACAGGCGAAAGCAGAGCUGUCUGUUACUCAGCUUUGUUUUGUUGUUGCCCCUAGUGGAGGUAUUGCAAAAAUGUAUCAUCUCACUACACAAAAGGCUUCUCAGCUGAAAACUGUAAACUGCAAAUUGUUUCUUCUUCUCUCUCCCCCAUCACUGUGGGGGGGGGGGGUCGUGUUAGGGGGCGAGAAUAGUCUGUACAAUGCUUGCUUCACGAUAAGGCUGACUCCUGUGGGAACACAGAUUAGUUACUGCCUGCUUUGCGCACAAACUUUGCAGAAAACUGUAGCAAAUGACAGAUUGCCGCAAUGGAAUCUUGUUCAGGAGAGGUAUAAAAAUGUAUCGUCGGGCAUGGCUAGGGGUGAACAUGGCUUUGAGCUCCGUUGUCGAUCUGUUUGCAAACAAACAUACUUGAAAUGGAUCCAGCCUAAGUGUGUAUAACUCUCUCUUGAGGUAUAUGGAAAAAGCCUCCAGAAACACGAAUCUAGCUGGUUGUGCAACAGAGGCACAACAGGGAAGCACCCCCCUCCCCCUGUCAGCCUAACCACCCUCUCGUCCGUCCAAGGCCCCUGCCUUGUAGUGCCUCUUGGGCCUGUGUGGUGUUGCUGGUCGUUGUGUUUUUUGGGGGGGGGUGUGAGGGGUGUGCAGCCAAGGUGAUGGCUCCUGUGGAGAAGGGGAGGAGAAGCAGAAGUAGUUACGAAGAGCCUGGGUGCUGGGCUGAUGUCGUGGGAGAAAACUCCCUGGUGUUCGUUGUCUAGCAGGCUUAGAGACCAGACAAACACGGGUGAAGGGGUAACUGCAGUUUAUUUACUCGAGUAAAGAGCAUAAAACAGCAAAGAGGUAAAAUGGCCUUGACUUAAGGGUGAGGCUGUCUUGUAUACAUUUUCUAAGAAAGAAACUACAAGGUUAUUGAAUAUGCAAUACUUAUGGUAAUCAUCUCCUUACAUGGUGCAUUACAAAUCUCAAUACUUUUCCAGAGGAAAAAAGUUAGUGUUACCUUACACAUUCCAAUCUGUUUUCCUGUGCUGUGCUGUACCAUCUUCUUCCUUGUGGCCCCCCCCCCCUUAUCUUAUCUCACUCCUAGCUGCAGCUGGUACCCAGUACACAGACUUAAUUUCUGCUUUUUUCUAACAAAAUGGUUAAGGCACUUGAUAUAAGAAAAUGGUUGGCUUAGAGAUCAUUCUGUCUUGUGGUCAGCAAGAUUGCUAGGCCACAGGUCAUACCUAGUGUUUAGCUACAAAGCUAAUAAUAUUUAAUAAUCUAAAUUAUUGUUAAUAGUAUACUACAGAAAACUAUUUUAUUUCAGUGUAAAGACAAACUUGCCCAUCACACUGAGUGUGAGGUGGAAGAGGUGCCAGGAGGAUGUGUGGGGUGUGGCUUGUGCCCUGGUGUGUGCUUGGUGGGGUGAGAGGGGUGCGAAGCUGCCUGGGUGUGGUGGGAUCUUGCUCUGAUCCCUUGCUUGUUUGCUUUGUUUGGUGAUGUUUGUGUGUGUCCUUGUGGUGUUUGUGUUCUGCCUGUUUGUUGUGAGGCUGGCAAUGUUUUCUUCCUGGUGGUUUGUUUUGUACAUGGCUGUUUGCUCACCUCCUGUCUGCUGAGCUUUUUGUAUUUAACAUGUAGAGGAACUUGUGGGCCAACCAGGAAAAAUAAAAUAAAGGAGAAAUGGUUUUGGCA